Molecule: long non-coding RNA, 450 nt
Filed under: Phaseolus vulgaris (common bean)
Lineage: Eukaryota; Viridiplantae; Streptophyta; Magnoliopsida; Fabales; Fabaceae
Description: long non-coding RNA (PVUL_LNC001971)
Source: RNAcentral
CUUACCAAUUACCAACACUGUGCUCAUGCGGAGAAUUUUAAAGCUACUAAAAGAUUGUUUGAGAUUAUCAAAGGCAUUGCAAAUUAUGGAGUCAAGUACGAAUGAUUGCAAGAAAUUAACUUUCAUGGAUUUUCUGAUACUGAUUGCGCAGGUCCAAUUGAAGAUAUUGAAAAGUACAUAUAGAUACUACUUAUCACUAGGAUCUGAAAUAUUUGUAGAGUUCAAAUAAGCAAGAAGUUGUAGCAUAAUCAACAACAGAAGUACAAUUUAUAGCUAUUGCAGGACUGCUAUCAAGCAGCUUGUGUCAGACAAUUAUUGGUUUAUUUGCAAACGGAGUAAAAGAAAGACCAAGACUAUGAAGCUACUAUUGCAAUUUUGAAAAUCAAGCAAUAUCUAAGGAAGAACAAAGCACUUUUAUAUAUAUGUGUGUGUAUAAUUAUUUAUUUCUCA